AACAGGUGGAGCCUGCGGUUUAAUUGGACUCAACGCCGGGAAACUCACCAGAUAAGACAGCUGAAUGAUAGUCGGGCUGAAGACUCUACUUGACUAGCUGAGAGGAGGUGCAUGGCCGUCGUCAGUUCGUACUGUGAAGCAUCCUGUUAAGUCAGGCAACGAGCGAGACCCACGCCAACAGUUGCCAGCUCGUCCUCCGGGAUGGUGGGGACACUGUUGGGACCGCCUCUGCUAAAGAGGAGGAAGGAAUGGGCAACGGUAGGUCAGCAUGCCCCGAAUUAUCUGGGCUACACGCGGGCUACAAUGGGUGGGACAAUGGGUAUCGACACCGAAAGGUGAAGGCAAUCUCCUAAACCCAUCCGUAGUUCGGAUUGUGGGCUGCAACUCGCCCACAUGAAGCUGGAAUCUGUAGUAAUCGUGUCUCAAAAUGGCACGGUGAAUAUGUCCCUGCUCCUU
This 456-nucleotide ribosomal RNA is filed under the name uncultured Methanomicrobiales archaeon. RNAcentral's name for it is "bacterial SSU rRNA". It matches the Rfam family "Archaeal small subunit ribosomal RNA", at positions 883 to 1338 of the family's 1478-position model. Lineage: Archaea; Methanobacteriati; Methanobacteriota; Methanomicrobia; Methanomicrobiales. The record is from RNAcentral.